Molecule: long non-coding RNA, 829 nt
Filed under: Homo sapiens (human)
Lineage: Eukaryota; Metazoa; Chordata; Mammalia; Primates; Hominidae
Description: non-protein coding lnc-AIPL1-1:6
Source: RNAcentral
GGGGUUUGUGAGUGGGCUCCAGCCACACACGACUUCGUGCCUGUGACGUUGGCUCCUCCAUCCGCCUCUUUCCUGGAGUGCAGCCUGAGUCACAGCUCGAAACUUCUCCCACCUUCUCCGGGUGGAGGGGGCUUCCCCAGUCUUGGGGUGCGCACCUCAGGCAACGACCCAUCCCUCACUCCCCUGUGCUGGGACUGCAUGGGAAGCUGGACUACACUCCUCAGCCUCCCUUGAAGUUGCAGUGAACUUAUGAUGGUUUGUUCUAACCACCGUAAGAUCAACUGACGUUUAUCUACAAGGAUUUUUAUCAGGGUUGUUUGAAACCAGGGGUCAGCAAAAUUGUUUCGUGACCAGUCAAGUAGUAAGUAUGUUGCUUUCUGAGCAACAAAUAAUCUCUAUCUUUUUUCUCUCCUCUGCCUCCUCCUUGUUCUCCAUUCCCUCUUCCUUCUUGUUUCUUUUCUUUUGUUUACACACAAAUAUAAAAUAUAAAAACCAUUCUUGGCCGGGAGCAGUGGCUUAUGCCUGUAAUCCUAGCACUUUGGGAGGCUGAGGCGGGCAGAUCACCUGAGGUCAGGAGUUCGAGACCAGCCUGGCCAACAUGGUGAAACCCCAUCUCUACUAAAAAUACAAAAUUAUCCAGGUGUGGUGGCGGGCGCCUGUAGUCCCAGUUAUUCAGGAGGUUGAGGCAGGAGAAUUGCUUGAACCUGGGAGGUGGAGGUUGGAGUGAGCCAAGACUGUGGCACUGCACUCCAGCCUAGGUGAUAGAGUGAGACUCCGUCUCAAAACAAAAACAAACAAACAAAAAACAACAACAACAACAAAACAGUCC